CUGCGGUGCGAGGCUGGGCUGGGCCGGAGGGAGCAGCCGCUCGCGGAGGCUCGACACCGACACCGGAGCUGCCUGAAGUUAGCUUCCUCUCAGGGGGCCGACAGGCCUCCCGUUUCCUGUCUGUCUGCUCUCCAGCUCCCCUCCCCCUUCUCAUUUCCUGUCUGAGUCUACACUGCUAUUUUCGGGAUCUUGACACUUUGAGGAGAGGUUAAAGGGCAGUUCGGCAAGGCGGAGAGACCAAUCCACGCCAGAGCGGAGGAGCUGGUGAGGCCCUGCAGCCCCGCGUCUAGCUGCCCGCUCCGCUCGGGGCUCGGUUCCCGCCGGGCUGGCCCUGGGCCUGAUCGGGCUGUGCCAGAAGCGGGAUCCCCCUCCCCCCCCCCCUGGCCCUGGGCUCCGACCACCCCGGAGCACCCACACCCCAGCCUGACAGCCGGACAAACUUCCAGCCUAGAGAUCUGGGAAGGAGCCUGGUCCUCCCACGUAACUACCCAGAGAAGCCACAGUUCGGGCGACAGGAGCUCCUAACAUGCCAGACACUGAGCUGUUUCCUGGGAACCAAGCACCAGGUCCAGACCUCUGACUGGGGUGCCAACUGCCGGGAGGCCCCGCGCCUGGGCACCGUGCCGCUCUGCCCCCAGCUCCUGGCCGCUGGCCAGAGGGGCGGGCACCAGGUGGAAGGAAGGGGUGAGCGGAGGGCAGUGCGCACGGCUCCGCGGCCCUCUCCUGAGAAGAACCGGCUCCGUCCCCACGCAGCAAGACUAAGAAAGAGGAGGGCCUGAGAGAGAAGGGAGGGGAGUAGAAGGCCCGUGGCGGUGGCGGUGGCGGUGGCGGUGGCGUGCAGGACGGGAGCUGCCAACUGCUUCACUGCCCCCCUGCAGGCCAGCUGACGAGGCCCUGCCACUCCUUCUGUGAGGAUUCCCCAAAUCCAGCUGGAGGCUCGGGUUCCCGUCUGCUAGCAUGUCAGCUUUCACUCUGCUUCCCAGACGAGGUGUGGAAGCCAAAUCUGGCCACCAAGCACAGCUGCGGAGGCCGGGAACCAUCCCUUUCCUGUUCCCUCCCGCGCCAUCCGCCGCCCCCCCUCGGUGACUGCUGCAGCAGCUGGCUGCAACCAGGAAGCCCGGGACCCUGGGGAUGGCACCUGCCCAGCCACCCCCGCCCCACCCCGGGCUCGACGCCUCUCUCGUGCAAGCUCUCCGUAUCUGUGCCAGGAUAGCAGCCCUGCCUGCAGUUCUCCAUCGGGCUUUCCUCACUGCUUUGUGUCCGCUCCCUCUGUCUGUCCGUCUGUCUCACUUCCACUACAUACUCUGACUGGUUACAGGUUCAUAAAACUGAGACCACAGCCGUCUUUCACUGUACCUCACGCAUUCGCCUUCAGCCCGUUCAGCAGGUUCUGGCUCCCCACUCAGACCCACGCAGUCCCUGGGGACCCUGUCCACAGGUUGGCAGUAACCAAGGUCUGUAGAUACGGAAGACGUUCAAUUCCUGGCCCCCGCUGCCUUACUUCUACUUGCUUGGUACUCUGGGAAGCCGCCUCUGCUCGUGAACUAAGACGGUCUUGUAAUCAAGAAAAUCAUCUUUUGGGCACCAAACAGUCCGGGAACCAGGUCUCAGCUCCCCGAUGUAAUAUGCUCCCCCAUCCCCAGCAUUCUCCGGGCCUCCCUUGGCCCAGCCCCAGGCCACAGCAGACUCUAGUCUCAGCUGCUAUGGGAAUGUCUUCUCCUUAAAGCCACAGGCUGAAGACCCCAGGAGAGGCCCCACGCUUGCCAGCAGCAUCCAGUCAGCAGCUGGCAGAGCUGAAAGGGAGAAAAGCCAGAAAAAGAACAGUCUGAAGCUCUGAGGAACCAAAAGCCAUUUAGGGGGCAACGGUGCCUGACAGGGAGAUAAACAAGCAACCCAUCCUCCGAGGACACCGGAUCCUGAUGGCCGAUUCUGACUCACCCAAUGUGGUUGGUACGAAGUGAGAUCUCCAGCUCCCUCAGUACUUUGGUUGACUCCUGCACUCUCCUCCUGAACUUCUGUAAACACGGAAUUUCCUGUCACUAUCGGAGACCCCCCGAUCCAACUUAAUAGUACAAACGAAAAGGGCAGAAAAGGGCAGGGACGCAAGAGGGCAGUUAUAAGCCUUUCCCUCUGUUGGUAGCCAGCCACUCCAGGCCCAUGGCCUCAGAACCCAGACACCCAACUCCCAUUGCUCAGAAGCAGAUGUCCCCCCACAAGUCAAAGGGUCUGCCCCUCCCCAAAUCCCGCAGGACUAUAAGGGGCAGCAAGGUGGGGCUUCCCUGCCUCACACUUCACCUUCCGAGUUACGCUGGGGUCCAAGAAGCUCUGGAGUUUCUGGAUGUAAGUGUGGGGAGGAUUCUUCACCUGGAACCGUUCCUGUGAGGGAAACACGUGUGUGUGCACAGACCCCCAGAGUUCUGAGGAGAGGGUUGAGGGAGUCGAACACUCGUGGUGUUCGGUGUGAGGGGAUUCAGACUCCCCAAGUUGUCGGCUGGCCCGUAAUACCAUCCAAAGCACAGGUCCUCUUCCUUGCCUGAUUUUCAGGUGCUCCCCAUCUACCACCAUCUUCCCCUUCUCUCAUUAGUGAUCUCUGAGCCUAAAAUAUUUUCCUAUGUUGAAAAUUAUUUUAAGAGCCUGCGACUUGCUAAGACGGGAUGGAAGAGCUGGGAACAGUGCUCAAAAUAAAGAUACAACUGAGAAAUGGUG
Molecule: long non-coding RNA, 2706 nt
Organism: Canis lupus familiaris (dog)
Lineage: Eukaryota; Metazoa; Chordata; Mammalia; Carnivora; Canidae
Exons: 2
Source: RefSeq, a predicted model, not a curated record